RNAcentral lists this ribosomal RNA (114 nucleotides) under Acanthosepion pharaonis. The record is from RNAcentral. Lineage: Eukaryota; Metazoa; Mollusca; Cephalopoda; Sepiida; Sepiidae.
UUACGACCAUAUCACUUUGAAACACCGGUUCUUGUAGGAGCACCGAAGUUAAGCAACGUCGAGUCUGGUCAGUACCUAGAUGGGUGACCGCUUGGGAAUACCAGGUGGUGUAAG